UACGUAGGGGGCGAGCGUUAUCCGGAAUUACUGGGCGUAAAGCGUGCGCAGGCGGUUUGUUAAGUCCGUUGUGAAAGCCCCGAGCUCAACUUGGGAAUUGCAGUGGAUACUGGCAGGCUGGAGUACGGUAGAGGAAGGUGGAAUUCCCGGUGUAGCAGUGAAAUGCGUAGAUAUCGGGAGGAACACCAGUGGCGAAGGCGAUCACCUGGGGUUGUUCUGACGCUGAGGAGCGAAAGCUAGGGGAGCAAACGGG
Molecule: ribosomal RNA, 253 nt
Filed under: uncultured bacterium
Lineage: Bacteria
Description: partial 16S ribosomal RNA
Rfam family: Bacterial small subunit ribosomal RNA
Source: RNAcentral